This 250-nucleotide ribosomal RNA is filed under the name uncultured archaeon. Its description in RNAcentral is "partial 16S ribosomal RNA". It matches the Rfam family "Archaeal small subunit ribosomal RNA", at positions 616 to 865 of the family's 1478-position model. The record is from RNAcentral.
UAUUCUUUGGGGAGCGGUAAAAUGCUAUAAUCCAUUGAAGACUACCAGUGGCGAAGGCGUCUGACUAGAACGGAUCCGACUGUGAGGGACGAAAGCUAGGGGAGCGAUCCGGAUUAGAUUCCCGAGUAGUCCUAGCCGUAAACGCUGUGAGUUAGGUGUUGCAUAAUCUAUAGGAUUGUGCAGUGUCGAAGCGAAGGUGUUAAACUCACCACCUGGGAAGUACGGCCGCAAGACUGAAACUUAAAGGAAU